CGGACGGGUGAGUAACACGUGGAUAACCUACCUAUAAGACUGGGAUAACUUCGGGAAACCGGAGCUAAUACCGGAUAAUAUAUUGAACCGCAUGGUUCAAUAGUGAAAGACGAUUUUGCUGUCACUUAUAGAUGGAUCCGCGCCGCAUUAGCUAGUUGGUAAGGUAACGGCUUACCAAGGCAACGAUGCGUAGCCGACCUGAGAGGGUGAUCGGCCACACUGGAACUGAGACACGGUCCAGACUCCUACGGGAGGCAGCAGGA
Molecule: ribosomal RNA, 263 nt
Filed under: uncultured Staphylococcus sp.
Lineage: Bacteria; Bacillati; Bacillota; Bacilli; Caryophanales; Staphylococcaceae
Description: partial 16S ribosomal RNA
Rfam family: Bacterial small subunit ribosomal RNA
Source: RNAcentral